AGUGUUCAAAGCACAGUACAAUAUGAAUUCAGUAUCUAGCAUCAUUGUUUUUUUUGGUUCCAUGCAUAUUAAACCAGGUUUUUUUUUGACACACUA
Molecule: small nucleolar RNA, 96 nt
Organism: Phyllostomus hastatus (greater spear-nosed bat)
Lineage: Eukaryota; Metazoa; Chordata; Mammalia; Chiroptera; Phyllostomidae
Product: small nucleolar RNA SNORA8
Exons: 1
Source: RefSeq, a predicted model, not a curated record